UACGUAGGGUGCGAGCGUUACUCGGAAUUACUGGGCGUAAAGCGUGCGCAGGCGGCUAGUGAAGUCUGGUGUGAAAGCCCCGGGCUUAACCUGGGAAUUGCAAUGGAAACUGCAAGGCUAGAGUUUGGCAGAGGGGGGUAGAAUUCCACGUGUAGCAGUGAAAUGCGUAGAUAUGUGGAGGAACACCGAUGGCGAAGGCAGCCCCCUGGGUCAAAACUGACGCUCAUGCACGAAAGCGUGGGGAGCAAACAGG
This 253-nucleotide ribosomal RNA is filed under the name uncultured bacterium. RNAcentral's name for it is "partial 16S ribosomal RNA". It matches the Rfam family "Bacterial small subunit ribosomal RNA", at positions 524 to 776 of the family's 1533-position model. The record is from RNAcentral.